This 942-nucleotide ribosomal RNA is filed under the name Panaeolus acuminatus. RNAcentral's name for it is "LSU rRNA". It matches the Rfam family "Eukaryotic large subunit ribosomal RNA", at positions 38 to 965 of the family's 3401-position model. Lineage: Eukaryota; Fungi; Basidiomycota; Agaricomycetes; Agaricales. The record is from RNAcentral.
GCAUAUCAAUAAGCGGAGGAAAAGAAACUAACAAGGAUUCCCCUAGUAACUGCGAGUGAAGCGGGAAAAGCUCAAAUUUAAAAUCUGGCAGUCUUUGAUUGUCCGAGUUGUAAUCUAGAGAAGCAUUAUCCGCGCUGGACCGUGUACAAGUCUCCUGGAAUGGAGCGUCAUAGAGGGUGAGAAUCCCGUCUUUGACACGGACUGCCAGGGCUUUGUGAUGUGCUCUCAAAGAGUCGAGUUGUUUGGGAAUGCAGCUCAAAAUGGGUGGUAAAUUCCAUCUAAAGCUAAAUAUUGGCGAGAGACCGAUAGCGAACAAGUACCGUGAGGGAAAGAUGAAAAGAACUUUGGAAAGAGAGUUAAACAGUACGUGAAAUUGCUGAAAGGGAAACGCUUGAAGUCAGUCGCGUUGUCCGGGAAUCAACCUUGCUUUUGCUGGGCGUACUUCCUGGUUAACGGGUCAGCAUCAAUUUUGACCGUUGGAUAAAGUUGUUGGGAAUGUGGCUUCUUCGGAAGUGUUAUAGCCCAGUUUCGCAUACAACGGUUGGGAUUGAGGAACUCAGCACGCCGAAAGGCCGGGUUUUUAACCACGUUCGUGCUUAGGAUGCUGGCAUAAUGGCUUUAAUCGACCCGUCUUGAAACACGGACCAAGGAGUCUAACAUGCCUGCGAGUGUUUGGGUGGAAAACCCGAGCGCGUAAUGAAAGUGAAAGUUGAGAUCCCUGUCGUGGGGAGCAUCGACGCCCGGACUUGAACUUCUGUGACGGAUCCGCGGUAGAGCAUGUAUGUUGGGACCCGAAAGAUGGUGAACUAUGCCUGAAUAGGGUGAAGCCAGAGGAAACUCUGGUGGAGGCUCGUAGCGAUUCUGACGUGCAAAUCGAUCGUCAAAUUUGGGUAUAGGGGGCGAAAGACUAAUCGAACCAUCUAGUAGCUGGUUCCUGCCGAA